GACGCAAAUCCAAGAGUGGAAGCUCAAUCAAUACCAAAAGACGUGACCAACAAUCCUCUGGGGUCACUUAAGUAGGUAACUAAAUAUUAAGUACAGAGUAAAUCCAUCGAUAUCACGACGCACAUGUAGAAUUCAUCCUUCCACCACUCGUGUAAGCAGAGCAGAGCCAGGCCAUAGAAUGAUGAUGUUGAGGCGGCGAUACUGAAGAACUGAAUGCUUUUCUACAAGCCUUUGUCACUGAUCCGAGGACAGUUAACCUCACAGUCGCUCUGCAAUCCUGCAAGGUAGCAACUUAAGUGCCAGCUGCAUAUGAAGAUCUUCUCUCGCCUCUUAUACUUGUAGUGUCGGCUACAGAUGCCAUUUGUUAAGUGAGGGCUCGUGAGAUGGCUACAAAGAGAGGAAACUGAAAAGAAGAAGAUGGAGAAAGAGGGAUAGUUAUGCGUCGUUUCCGGGCCGCAGUAGGAGCAGCUGUUUCCAGAGAAGAAUCUCUAAAUCCCUCUGUACCUGCCACGUUUAAAAACAGCAGACAGACAAAGGAAGAUACCAACUGGUGAAGAGCAAGUCAGCAGAAAAGCUAUAGUUGCUCAUUCCAGUCACACACGCUCUCUGUAAUCCCAGUGAGCACAAACAAUCAGCAAAGCCGUGCCUCUUCCAUACUUCCAGCUGCCAAUAAUGAGUGACACUGAGCAGUAUCUGGCGGCUGAUUGGCUUGUUUCUUCUGCAAACUCAUCAUCUGAAGGCCCCUCACUGCUUCACUGUGUGCACAGCCAAGGCUAGCAAGUACACCAACAAUAGCUGGCAGGUGUAGCCUCGCUGAGAAAUAAGCCAAUUGUUUAUAGUGAGACAGCUUAGUGAGAAUGGCAGAUGCACACAAACUGCUCUAAGUCCCUAGAUAUGAUUAUUCUCAAUGUGUGCAGGUGUUGAGAGGGAUAACAUGUUUAAAGACAACAACUAUUGUGUAGCAGGGAUGGAAAGAGGAGUAAAAGUAAAGUAGGUCAGUUAAAUGCACUCUUAGUAAACGUUAAUGUGUUACAUUUUUAAAAAGGGGCAGGAGGUUUAUAAUGAUUAGCAUCUAUUAAAUAAUAAAUAAAUAAAGUGCAUUAACAUGUCAAAUGGAACAAAAUCAUGAACCGCAGAGCCCUCACGUCCAAACCAACAAUGCAUUCCUGUUCCUGUAAGACAGACAUGUGCAGCCUGUGCAUAAAACAGAUUAGCAAUUUAGUUUAAUGAUAAUAACGCUGCAUAUUUUAAUUACAAUGUACAGGGACAAGCUCAACUGUGGACAAGCUAAAAAUAAGCUAUAGUGAAAAAAGUCAGUACAUAAUGCUCUGUUAUGGAACUAUAAUCAAUUAAAAACAAUGCAAAUACAUUGAAAUGAUCAACAGAUGGAUAUACAGCAUCAAGAGUAAAUGUAACUCAUUACUACCAGUGCUGUGUAGAAGCAGCCUGGCACUUCAUCAACUGAACGAGAACAUACUGUACAAUGUUGUACUUUAGUGUGUGUGUGAUUGAGAGACACGCAGAGGGGGUACCAGUAUCUUAAUUAACCACAUGGUUUAAUGAUCAUGAGCACUCACUUCAGAUGCUGGUCCCAGCUCUAACAUGAUUAUCAUUUCUAAUCCAGUGGUUGGC
Cottoperca gobio is the source of this 1632-nucleotide long non-coding RNA. RefSeq lists it as uncharacterized. The record is from RefSeq and is a predicted model, not a curated record. Lineage: Eukaryota; Metazoa; Chordata; Actinopteri; Perciformes; Bovichtidae. The transcript is spliced from 3 exons.